ACGGGUGAGUAAUGCCUAGGAAUCUGCCUGGUAGUGGGGGACAACGUCUCGAAAGGGACGCUAAUACCGCAUACGUCCUACGGGAGAAAGUGGGGGAUCUUCGGACCUCACGCUAUCAGAUGAGCCUAGGUCGGAUUAGCUAGUUGGUGAGGUAAUGGCUCACCAAGGCGACGAUCCGUAACUGGUCUGAGAGGAUGAUCAGUCACACUGGAACUGAGACACGGUCCAGACUCCUACGGGAGGCAGCAGUGGGGAAUAUUGGACAAUGGGCGAAAGCCUGAUCCAGCCAUGCCGCGUGUGUGAAGAAGGUCUUCGGAUUGUAAAGCACUUUAAGUUGGGAGGAAGGGUUGUAGAUUAAUACUCUGCAAUUUUGACGUUACCGACAGAAUAAGCACCGGCUAACUCUGUGCCAGCAGCCGCGGUAAUACAGAGGGUGCAAGCGUUAAUCGGAAUUACUGGGCGUAAAGCGCGCGUAGGUGGUUUGUUAAGUUGAAUGUGAAAUCCCCGGGCUCAACCUGGGAACUGCAUCCAAAACUGGCAAGCUAGAGUAGGGCAGAGGGUGGUGGAAUUUCCUGUGUAGCGGUGA
Molecule: ribosomal RNA, 586 nt
Filed under: uncultured Pseudomonas sp.
Lineage: Bacteria; Pseudomonadati; Pseudomonadota; Gammaproteobacteria; Pseudomonadales; Pseudomonadaceae
Description: bacterial SSU rRNA
Rfam family: Bacterial small subunit ribosomal RNA
Source: RNAcentral